This 465-nucleotide ribosomal RNA is filed under the name Vreelandella stevensii. RNAcentral's name for it is "partial 16S ribosomal RNA". It matches the Rfam family "Bacterial small subunit ribosomal RNA", at positions 338 to 795 of the family's 1533-position model. The record is from RNAcentral. Lineage: Bacteria; Pseudomonadati; Pseudomonadota; Gammaproteobacteria; Oceanospirillales; Halomonadaceae.
CCUACGGGGGGCUGCAGUGGGGAAUAUUGGACAAUGGGGGCAACCCUGAUCCAGCCAUGCCGCGUGUGUGAAGAAGGCCCUCGGGUUGUAAAGCACUUUCAGUGAGGAAGAACGCCUGGUGGUUAAUACCCAUCAGGAAAGACAUCACUCACAGAAGAAGCACCGGCUAACUCCGUGCCAGCAGCCGCGGUAAUACGGAGGGUGCGAGCGUUAAUCGGAAUUACUGGGCGUAAAGCGCGCGUAGGUGGCUUGAUAAGCCGGUUGUGAAAGCCCCGGGCUCAACCUGGGAACGGCAUCCGGAACUGUCAAGCUAGAGUGCAGGAGAGGAAGGUAGAAUUCCCGGUGUAGCGGUGAAAUGCGUAGAGAUCGGGAGGAAUACCAGUGGCGAAGGCGGCCUUCUGGACUGACACUGACACUGAGGUGCGAAAGCGUGGGUAGCAAACAGGAUUAGAUACCACUGUAGUC